GGGUGUUUAGCUCAGUUGGUAGAGCAAAUGACUUUUAAUCAUUGGGUCACAGGUUCGAAUCCUGUAACACCCACCA
Molecule: transfer RNA, 76 nt
Filed under: Rickettsiales bacterium
Lineage: Bacteria; Pseudomonadati; Pseudomonadota; Alphaproteobacteria; Rickettsiales
Description: tRNA-Lys
Rfam family: tRNA
About the family: Transfer RNA (tRNA) molecules are approximately 80 nucleotides in length.
Source: RNAcentral